CGAAAUCAUCAUAAAAGCAAUAGCAUUUUUUUUUUCUCCAACAAAAAAACCAUAUUACACACAUAUAAAGUCUACUUUCAUUCUUUAAUACAAACCAUACUUAAAACGUGUCAUUACUAGGUGACAUAUAACAAAACAUAUAACUAGGCCAUCCCCAGGUCAAAGUAGCCAUAUGUACAUCAUCGAGGCGAGGUUCUGCUUCAGCUCGGUCCCACUUCUAUUUAUGUUUAUCUUUACCCUUUCCUGCAACACAAGAAAACUAUGAGCUACGUCGCUCAGUAAGUAAAGUAACUGAAGAUAAUUUAACACACAUAAGUAAUUCAACAUGUAUAAGUGCAUUCCAUCUUAUCUUUAUUAUUUAUGAACCUUGACACUUUAAAUUAGUGCACCAUGUUGACACAUUUGCCUGCAGGGCUUUCGUAUAACAUAAUAUCCCAUGGGAAACCUCCUCAGGCGCCAUUACCAACAGAGUGGCUCGUUGUAUACCUUAUUCUAUCGUUGCCCCGUCGAGCUCAAGACCUAAGGCGGCCUUGCUCUGUGGUAUCUGAUCACAUAGAUCUUAACAACAUAGAGGAGGCAAGAUCAACUCAUAUUCGAUAAUCGAACCUGGCCUGCCCUUAAAGGGCUACCCUUACAAGCCUACAAAAGGCCUAAUAAAACUUAUCUUCUCGUAACAAUGACACAAUUCAAUUAUACCAUCAUCUUCUCAAUUGAUCACAUGUAUAAUUUAGCAACAUAUGCUAUCAGAAUUUCCCGAUAAAUACACACAGUCAGUAACGUACUACAACCAUUUCAAUCUUCACAAAGUAACACAAAAUUGACAAUCACCAAAAACAAAUUCAAAUAAGAAAUUUUGUGUUGCAGUUAAGUACUUUACUUACCUCGAGUCCAACUUAAACUGGUCCAACUUAAACAAGAAGAUGCUUUCAAUCAAGGUCACAAUCACCUAAAAUCAUACAUAUUUUCCUUUGUCAUAAAUCAUUCUCUAUGCCACUUAUAAAAUUUAUAAUUGUGGUUCUGUUAAUUAAACCAUAAUUCCACCAUUAAAUAAAUUAAUAACUACUUAUAAUAUUAUAACUAUAAGUAGUAUCUAAAAAGUUACUAAAUAAAAUAUUGAAAUAUUAUUCAAUAGAAUAAACAGAAAUAAACGACUACUUAAAAGAAGUAGUUACCUCAAAGCUGAGCUUAGCUUUGAUUCCCU
RNAcentral lists this long non-coding RNA (1201 nucleotides) under Daucus carota (carrot). RNAcentral describes it as "long non-coding RNA (DCAR_LNC002258)". The record is from RNAcentral. Lineage: Eukaryota; Viridiplantae; Streptophyta; Magnoliopsida; Apiales; Apiaceae.